This 978-nucleotide long non-coding RNA is filed under the name Daucus carota (carrot). RNAcentral describes it as "long non-coding RNA (DCAR_LNC002929)". The record is from RNAcentral. Lineage: Eukaryota; Viridiplantae; Streptophyta; Magnoliopsida; Apiales; Apiaceae.
UUGCCAUAAUUAAGCCUUUGUCUAACCUCCCAGAGCAAACAACUCUGGAUCCUUAAUUGGAUAAGCCACUUAGUGGUUGGCAACUUGUGGACCAUGAUUCGGAUUUAUCUGAUGAGUCUGCAGGGACUGGGAAUUACGAACUCCCAUUGCACCACCGGUGACCCCCUUUAAGGGUGGCUAAGGUGAUUUUCUUGCAGGUACUCAGCAUUCUGGAAGCUCAGUAUUUAUGUGGAGGGAUACACUUACUGAACUCGUGAGUGACACCCUUACCCAAAAAACCGAGAGAAAAUUGAGUGUUGAGUGAUACACCUGCAGAACAUUUUAGUGAGACACCUACUAAUUACCAAAUUUAUACCUAAAGACAAAGUGGAUGUUGUUACUGGUAUGUCAGUUUCACUCAUUACUUUUCCGUUUGGAACCUAUUCUUUCAGCAUAGGGACCAACCCAAUCAAAGUAAACCCUUCUUCUGAACUCUUUCUUCGACCCCAGCUUUAGCGUUGUUUAGUUCUCUAUGGGGAGAUUAUCUUUUGGUACAGGAAGUAUUGUACACGUUCCUUGACCAUAUUUGAUACCACAUAUCCUCGGAGGAUUCCACAACUAAGGGGGAGAAUAUAUUUAGGGGGAGAAUAUAUGAAAGGGGGAAGAAAAAGUAAGUGAGCUUUCUUUAGCUGUCUACAACUAAGGGGGAUUAAACUACUCUUUAGCUGUGUACUACUGAGGGGGAGAUUUUUCUUUCAACUAAGGAGGAGGAUUGAUCUUUCAUCUAAGGGGAGACAACAACUUAUCACCAAGGGGAACCUGAUCAAGGUAACGGGAGGAGAAGUAUAAGGUGAUACAUCUAUUCUUCAGUAUGUGGUAGACGUGAACUUAUUCAUUACCACUGAAGAAUUCAAUGAAGCUGCUGAUUGUUCUUUGCAUAAUGGAAUGUUUUGAAUUCUCUUCAAGACAGACUAUGAGGAUUAUCUGGCAGGUAAGCAA